This 72-nucleotide transfer RNA is filed under the name Urocitellus parryii (Arctic ground squirrel). RNAcentral describes it as "Spermophilus parryii (Arctic ground squirrel) tRNA". It matches the Rfam family "tRNA". Rfam says of the family: Transfer RNA (tRNA) molecules are approximately 80 nucleotides in length. Their secondary structure includes four short double-helical elements and three loops (D, anti-codon, and T loops). RNAcentral also lists the same sequence under 1 other name. The record is from Rfam by way of RNAcentral. Lineage: Eukaryota; Metazoa; Chordata; Mammalia; Rodentia; Sciuridae.
UGGGUUGUGGCUCAGUGGUAGAGUGCUUGUCUUGCACAUGUGAGAAUCUGGGUUCAAUUCUCAGCACUGCAU